This 85-nucleotide transfer RNA is filed under the name Sargassum confusum. RNAcentral describes it as "tRNA-Tyr". It matches the Rfam family "tRNA". From Rfam's summary of the family: Transfer RNA (tRNA) molecules are approximately 80 nucleotides in length. The record is from RNAcentral. Lineage: Eukaryota; Phaeophyceae; Fucales; Sargassaceae.
GGGUCGAUGCCCGAGUGGUUAAAGGGGGCGGAUUGUAAAUCCGCUGGUUUACCUACGUUGGUUCAAAUCCAACUCGGCCUAUAUU